AUUGAACGCUGGCGGCACGCUUUACACAUGCAAGUCGAACGGUAACAGGCCUUCGGGUGCUGACGAGUGGCGAACGGGUGAGUAAUGCAUCGGAACGUGCCCAAUCGUGGGGGAUAACGUAGCGAAAGUUACGCUAAUACCGCAUAAGCCCUGAGGGGGAAAGCAGGGGAUCGCAAGACCUUGCGCGAAUGGAGCGGCCGAUGUCAGAUUAGCUAGUUGGUGGGGUAAAGGCCUACCAAGGCGACGAUCUGUAGCGGGUCUGAGAGGAUGAUCCGCCACACUGGGACUGAGACACGGCCCAGACUCCUACGGGAGGCAGCAGUGGGGAAUUUUGGACAAUGGGCGCAAGCCUGAUCCAGCCAUGCCGCGUGCGGGACGAAGGCCUUCGGUUGUAAACCGCUUCAGCCGGAAGAAUACGCCAAGGCUAAUAUCCUUGGUGGAGUGACGGUACCGGAAGGAAGAAGACACCGGACUUAACU
RNAcentral lists this ribosomal RNA (479 nucleotides) under uncultured bacterium. RNAcentral describes it as "bacterial SSU rRNA". It matches the Rfam family "Bacterial small subunit ribosomal RNA", at positions 29 to 502 of the family's 1533-position model. The record is from RNAcentral.